CAUCAUGGUUGAUCCUGGGUGACCCAGUCGAUCAUGCCAAAGUACAAAUGUAUUGGACUCAGUAUUCUUUAGAUUUACUGCAGAAUGUGCCUCAAUAGCACUAAUUCUUGUCCAAUACAGGCCACAAGAUAAAGAUGAGAACUUCACAAUAACCCUCUUUUGGCCAGAGACAUUCUUUGUAAUGAUGAGAUAUUCAAGAUUAUUCUCAUCUAUUGUCUCAAUAUGAUAUCCAUUUU
This 236-nucleotide long non-coding RNA is filed under the name Nicotiana benthamiana. Its description in RNAcentral is "long non-coding RNA (NBEN_LNC003297)". Lineage: Eukaryota; Viridiplantae; Streptophyta; Magnoliopsida; Solanales; Solanaceae. The record is from RNAcentral.